This 254-nucleotide ribosomal RNA is filed under the name uncultured bacterium. RNAcentral describes it as "partial 16S ribosomal RNA". It matches the Rfam family "Bacterial small subunit ribosomal RNA", at positions 524 to 776 of the family's 1533-position model. The record is from RNAcentral.
UACGUAGGAGGCGAGCGUUGUCCGGAGUUACUGGGCGUAAAGGGUGCGCAGGCGGCGUCACGCGUGGGUAGUUGAAAUCUCCUGGCUUACCUGGGAGGGUGGUAUCCAGACGGUGGCGCUUGAGGGUCGGAGAGGGGCGUGGAAUUCCGGGUGGAGCGGUGAAAUGCGUAGAUAUCGGGAGGAACACCUGUGGCGAAAGCGGCGCACUGGACCACAACUGACGCUGAGGCGCGAAAGCGAGGGGAGCAAACAGG